This 458-nucleotide ribosomal RNA is filed under the name Escherichia coli. Its description in RNAcentral is "bacterial SSU rRNA". It matches the Rfam family "Bacterial small subunit ribosomal RNA", at positions 1 to 455 of the family's 1533-position model. Lineage: Bacteria; Pseudomonadati; Pseudomonadota; Gammaproteobacteria; Enterobacterales; Enterobacteriaceae. The record is from RNAcentral.
AAAUUGAAGAGUUUGAUCAUGGCUCAGAUUGAACGCUGGCGGCAGGCCUAACACAUGCAAGUCGAACGGUAACAGGAAGAAGCUUGCUUCUUUGCUGACGAGUGGCGGACGGGUGAGUAAUGUCUGGGAAACUGCCUGAUGGAGGGGGAUAACUACUGGAAACGGUAGCUAAUACCGCAUAACGUCGCAAGACCAAAGAGGGGGACCUUCGGGCCUCUUGCCAUCGGAUGUGCCCAGAUGGGAUUAGCUAGUAGGUGGGGUAACGGCUCACCUAGGCGACGAUUCCUAGCUGGUCUGAGAGGAUGACCAGCCACACUGGAACUGAGACACGGUCCAGACUCCUACGGGAGGCAGCAGUGGGGAAUAUUGCACAAUGGGCGCAAGCCUGAUGCAGCCAUGCCGCGUGUAUGAAGAAGGCCUUCGGGUUGUAAAGUACUUUCAGCGGGGAGGAAGGGAGU